RNAcentral lists this ribosomal RNA (1322 nucleotides) under human gut metagenome. RNAcentral's name for it is "bacterial LSU rRNA". It matches the Rfam family "Bacterial large subunit ribosomal RNA", at positions 1389 to 2584 of the family's 2925-position model. The record is from RNAcentral.
AGCUACGACGAGUCUCACCAAGAGGACUUCUGCUGUAUCCAAAUCCCCGUCGCCCUCAAAUAACUUGCGGUGAAAUAGUCCCUAAAUAGCUCGAGUGGGCGUGCAAACAGGAACUAUUCCACCGCAACUUCGAUGCGACAAAGGAGCAGUCCCUUUAUCGCAUUCCGUGCGAGCUCCAGCGCCAUCUGCGGGUAUAAGGCUAACAAGUGUUUAUUUGCGAGGCCUAAGGGGCGCCCCGUAUGGAUAUCGAUAACUUUGAAUGGUGGUAUAGCGAGGGCGAGGCUCCGGACGAAGCGACUGAGCGAAGCGAGUGAGCCCGAGGUCCCUAGAAAAACCCCUAGGCAGGCGCGUGCGCGCCCGUACCGCAAACCGACACAGGUGGGUGGGUAGAACAUACCGAGGCGAUCGGGUCAACCAUGGUCAAGGAACUCGGCACAAUGGCCCCGUAACUUCGGGAGAAGGGGUGCCCGCGCGUACGUGAACCGGCUUGCCCGGGGAGCGGAGGCGGGCCGCAGUGGAGAGGCCCAAGCGACUGUUUACCAAAAACACAGGACUCUGCAGAAGCCGCAAGGCGACGUAUAGGGUCUGACGCCUGCCCGGUGCCGGAAGGUCACGCGGAGGAGUUAGCCGAUUCGGCGAAGCCCCGAAGCCAAGCCCCGGUAAACGGCGGCCGUAACUAUAACGGUCCUAAGGUAGCGAAAUUCCUUGUCGGGUAAGUUCCGACCUGCACGAAAGGCGCAACGACUUGGGCGCUGUCUCGACCAUGGACCCGGUGAAAUUGCACUGGUCGUGAAGAUGCGACUUACCCGCGGAAGGACGGAAAGACCCCGUGAACCUUCACUGCAGCUUGGCAUUGGCCGCUGGUCCCGCGUGUAGAGGAUAGGCAGGAGGCACAGAUCCGGAGGCGCCAGCCCCCGGGGAGCCGCCCUUGGAAUACUGCCCUCGCGCGACCGGCGUCCUAACCCGAGGCCGUCAACCGGCUCGGGGACCGUGCCAGGCGGGCAGUUUGACUGGGGCGGUCGCCUCCUAAAGGGUAACGGAGGCGCGCGAAGGUCCGCUCGGGACGGUCGGCAACCGUCCUUUUGAAUGCAAGAGUACAAGCGGGCUUGACUGCGAGGCCCACAAGCCGAGCAGGUGCGAAAGCAGGCUCUAGUGAUCCGGCGGCCCCGAGUGGGUGGGCCGUCGCUCAACGGAUAAAAGGUACUCCGGGGAUAACAGGCUGAUCUUGCCCAAGAGUCCACAUCGACGGCAAGGUUUGGCACCUCGAUGUCGGCUCAUCGCAUCCUGGGGCUGGAGCAGGUCCCAAGGGUACGGCUGUUCGC